GCCUUCUUAGCUCAGUGGUAGAGCACUUCCUUGGUAAGGAAGAGGCCGUCGGUUCAAAUCCGAUAGAAGGCU
This 72-nucleotide transfer RNA is filed under the name Fibrella forsythiae. RNAcentral's name for it is "tRNA-Thr". It matches the Rfam family "tRNA". From Rfam's summary of the family: Transfer RNA (tRNA) molecules are approximately 80 nucleotides in length. The record is from RNAcentral. Lineage: Bacteria; Pseudomonadati; Bacteroidota; Cytophagia; Cytophagales; Spirosomataceae.